Tulasnella sp. 403 is the source of this 91-nucleotide non-coding RNA. Lineage: Eukaryota; Fungi; Basidiomycota; Agaricomycetes; Cantharellales; Tulasnellaceae. The record is from the annotation of a GenBank genome assembly.
UCCUCCUUAACUCAGUGGUAGAGUUCUGUACUUAUGGGCUAUCGUCACAGCUGAAAUGCAGCUGCCGCCAGUUCGAUCCUGGCAGGAGGAA